AAGGUCAAGGUCCAGGUACAGAAGAUCCAGAAGAGGGAAAAAUGGAAGGUCAAGCUUCUCGUGGAGAAGAUUCUGAUUCCAGACAACCAGGCAGUACAGAAGACAGAGAAAUUCCAAUAGAGGGAAAUCAAGG
Non-coding RNA from Coffea arabica (coffee), 133 nucleotides. Lineage: Eukaryota; Viridiplantae; Streptophyta; Magnoliopsida; Gentianales; Rubiaceae. The record is from RefSeq and is a predicted model, not a curated record.